This 219-nucleotide ribosomal RNA is filed under the name Clostridioides difficile. Its description in RNAcentral is "partial 23S ribosomal RNA". It matches the Rfam family "Bacterial large subunit ribosomal RNA", at positions 419 to 640 of the family's 2925-position model. Lineage: Bacteria; Bacillati; Bacillota; Clostridia; Peptostreptococcales; Peptostreptococcaceae. RNAcentral also lists the same sequence under 1 other name. The record is from RNAcentral.
GGGACACGUGAAACCCUGUGGGAAGCAGGAGGGACCACCCUCCAAGGCUAAAUACUACCUAGUGACCGAUAGCGUAUAGUACCGUGAGGGAAAGGUGAAAAGAACCCCGGGAGGGGAGUGAAAUAGAACCUGAAACCCUGCACUUACAAGCUGUGGAAGCACAUUUCUUGUGUGACCGCGUACUUUUUGUAGAACGGGCCAACGAGUUACGUUAAGUAG